Ribosomal RNA from Cavia aperea (Brazilian guinea pig), 112 nucleotides. Lineage: Eukaryota; Metazoa; Chordata; Mammalia; Rodentia; Caviidae. The record is from Ensembl.
GUCUACGGCCAUACCAUCCUGAACACGCUGGAUCUCAUCUGAUCUCGGAAGCUAAGCAGGGUCGGGCCUGGUUAGUACUUGGAUGGGAGACCGCCACCGGGUGCUGUAGGCU